UACGAAGGGGGCUAGCGUUGUUCGGAAUUACUGGGCGUAAAGCGUGCGCAGGCGGCUUCUCAAGUCAGGGGUGAAAGCCCAGAGCUCAACUCUGGAAUUGCCUUUGAGACUGAGUGGCUUGAGUACGAGAGAGGUGAGUGGAAUUCCCAGUGUAGAGGUGAAAUUCGUAGAUAUCGGGAGGAACACCUGUGGCGAAAGCGGCGCACUGGACCACAACUGACGCUGAUGCGCG
This 232-nucleotide ribosomal RNA is filed under the name uncultured prokaryote. Its description in RNAcentral is "partial 16S ribosomal RNA". It matches the Rfam family "Bacterial small subunit ribosomal RNA", at positions 524 to 755 of the family's 1533-position model. The record is from RNAcentral.